GAUGAACGCUGGCGGCGUGCCUAAUACAUGCAAGUCGAGCGAACUUUUGGGAGCUUGCUCCCAACAGUUAGCGUCGGACGGGUGAGUAACACGUGGGUAACCUGCCUGUAAGACUGGGAUAACUUCUGGAAACCGGAGCUAAUACCGGAUAACAUUGAAGACCACAUGGCCUCCAAUUAAAAGGUGGCUUUUAGCUACCACUUACAGAUGGACCCGCGGCGCAUUAGCUAGUUGGUGAGGUAACGGCUCACCAAGGCGACGAUGCGUAGCCGACCUGAGAGGGUGAGCGGCCACACUGGGACUGAGACACGGCCCAGACUCCUACGGGAGGCAGCAGUAGGGAAUCUUCCGCAAUGGACGAAAGUCUGACGGAGCAACGCCGCGUGAGCGAAGAAGGCCUUCGGGUCGUAAAGCUCUGUUGUUAGGGAAGAACAAGUAUCGUUCGAAUAGGGCGGUACCUUGACGGUACCUAACCAGAAAGCCACGGCUAACUACGUG
This 498-nucleotide ribosomal RNA is filed under the name uncultured bacterium. Its description in RNAcentral is "partial 16S ribosomal RNA". It matches the Rfam family "Bacterial small subunit ribosomal RNA", at positions 28 to 507 of the family's 1533-position model. The record is from RNAcentral.